Molecule: long non-coding RNA, 1398 nt
Organism: Mauremys reevesii (Reeves's turtle)
Lineage: Eukaryota; Metazoa; Chordata; Testudines; Geoemydidae
Exons: 3
Source: RefSeq, a predicted model, not a curated record
UGGGGGCUCUGCAUGGCCCCAGGAGCAGGGCCGUGUCGUCCCCGGCAGCAGGCAGGAAACGGGCCACUUACCAGCGCGUCCCUCUUCGCCACGGAUCCCGCCAUCUUGUUGAAUCGGUGCAGUGGUGGAGGCGCCGGCGGCCGGUUUAUAGACUGACUGGUCUUGCCGCCGUGGGUUUAUGAAAUUGCUGUCAAGAUGUGAGGUGUUUGCCGGUUUCAUGGAAGCUUCGCCUGGUUUCAGGGUGGAAAGGAACUAGGGUCCAUAUUUAGUAGCAACCUGGAGUGCCUGAGCAAUGAAAAGGCAUCCAGUCUUGAUUUGAAGACUUCAGGAGAUGGAGAACCCACUGAGUACUGGUAUGAUAGGUAUGGAAGACAUCAAAACGAUACGCAUUUAUAUCAUUAUUGAGCAGAAAAUUUGCCUUCAGUUCUUAUUCACGACACAGGAGGUGAUGGAGGGGUGGUGGUGUGUGUGGGGGACAGUACAUUGUUGUAAAGUGGCCUCAACAUUUCUGCUUUCCACUGGAGCUGAAUAGCAUCAAGAUGUUGCUACAGAAGGAGAAUGUGUGCUGCUGAAGGGGCCCGGAACCUAGCUCAUUGCCUUGGGUUUUUCCUGUUGUACUGGUACCUCAGUGGAGUGUACUGGAAUGAGCAAUCCUGGUGUAGUGUUAUACGGGGCCUGAUUCUCCUUUCCCUUCACUGCUGUUGCUGUUAUAUUAGGGUUUGUUUACAGGGGAUACUCAGGAAAGUUAAUCUGCAUUAACUAAAGGUGUGAAUUUACAGUGGAUUAGUUAAACUGCAUUAAAUCCCCAUGUGGAUACUGUCAUUCAGAAUUAAAGUGGCCUUCAUUCAAUUUAGUUGAAUUUACUUCCAAGGUGUAAAGCUGGAUGAUAAUGAGGCACACCCAAUAUGAAUUGCAGUCAGGCCCAUGGUCCAGCCUGUCUCCUACAGUGUCCAGUACCAGCAGCUUCAGAGAAAACGCUGUUUGCUUAGAUAAACGUUGUGUAUAAAUGUAGGCAGCAUUGUAAGAGCUUGGAUGUGAGUGGAACUACUCUUCCUCAGGACAGUGCUGGGUUCCCUAGCCUCUCCCUUCUGCGUGUCAUGGUUGAGGUGAAUUGGGUAAGUGACCUCUCCACACAUCACAUACCAUUUGGUGUGUUCAUAGACACACCCUCCCACACUCACCCCAAGCAAUGCAAUUGACGGAGCAGCAGAACAAACAGAACAGGACGGUAUUUAACAUGGCUGUGUAUUGUCGUGCGUUAAUUGUGUUCCUUUCUGACAGACUGAUGAAGGAGUCCAGGAUCCACCCCAGCACCAGCUGUUUGUUUUUCAUCAUUGGCUGACAUAUUAUUUAUACAAAGUGUUUUAUAAUUUCAGAUUAAAAGGAUCAUUUAUUUCA